GAUGAACGCUGGCGGCGUGCUUAACACAUGCAAGUCGAACGAAGCACUUUACUUGAUCUCUUCGGAGUGAUUGUUUUGUGACUGAGUGGCGGACGGGUGAGUAACGCGUGGGUAACCUGCCUCACACAGGGGGAUAACAGUUGGAAAUGACUGCUAAUACCGCAUAAGCGCACAGGAUUGCAUGAUCUAGUGUGAAAAACUCCGGUGGUAUAAGAUGGACCCGCGUCUGAUUAGCUGGUUGGUGAGGUAACGGCCCACCAAGGCGACGAUCAGUAGCCGACCUGAGAGGGUGAUCGGCCACAUUGGGACUGAGACACGGCCCAAACUCCUACGGGAGGCAGCAGUGGGGAAUAUUGCACAAUGGGGGAAACCCUGAUGCAGCGACGCCGCGUGAGUGAUGAAGUAUUUCGGUAUGUAAAACUCUAUCAGCAGGGAAGAUAAUGACGGUACCUGACUAAGAAGCACCGGCUAAAUACGUGCCAG
Molecule: ribosomal RNA, 483 nt
Filed under: uncultured bacterium
Lineage: Bacteria
Description: bacterial SSU rRNA
Rfam family: Bacterial small subunit ribosomal RNA
Source: RNAcentral